This 79-nucleotide small nuclear RNA is filed under the name Rattus norvegicus (Norway rat). RNAcentral describes it as "U4 spliceosomal RNA". It matches the Rfam family "U4 spliceosomal RNA", at positions 1 to 77 of the family's 138-position model. From Rfam's summary of the family: U4 small nuclear RNA (U4 snRNA) is a component of the major U2-dependent spliceosome. Lineage: Eukaryota; Metazoa; Chordata; Mammalia; Rodentia; Muridae. The record is from Rfam by way of RNAcentral.
AGCUUUGCACAGUGGCAGUAUCACAGCCAAUGAAGUUUAUCCAAGGUGCAAUUAUUGCUAAUUGAAAACUCUUCUCCUG